This is a long non-coding RNA of Pogona vitticeps (central bearded dragon), 1760 nucleotides long. Lineage: Eukaryota; Metazoa; Chordata; Lepidosauria; Squamata; Agamidae. The record is from Ensembl.
AAAACAUGAUCUCCAUCUGCAUCGACCAAGUACAUUAGAUGCAGUUAUCCCCAUGAUGGAGAAGACCACGUUGUGCCAUGUUAAAGAUAAGGGGCUUCAGGAGGUGAAGGGAGUGGCCAUUUUAAAUGAGGACUUAAAUAUGGUUGACUAUCCAGGGAUUCAAACUAUUAUUUUUUGAUGUUAAGGAUAGGAAUGAGCCUUUUGACUUUCUUAGACUAGAAAUCCUGUAAGUCUCCAUUCUGGGAGGAAUCCUUAAUUUUGCUCACCUGGGAGAAAGGCCUAGAUUAGGAGGCUUGGCUAGGCCCAACUCCACCCAAACUUCCUGUUCCUGCCCCAGUGAUACCUGGGAGUUUUUGUUUUUGUUUUUUUUGAAAAGGAAGCUUAAGCAGAGCUAGGCCUAGCUAAGUUUCAAAGCCUUCCAGUUGAGGCCUUCAUCUCAGGUGAGUGAUAUUUAGGCAGGGUAUUUGCAAGUCUAGGUAGACCUUCCGGAAUGAGGACAUGUUUUAGUUCUAAAAAAUCAAAAAAAAAAAUCUAUCUCCAGUUAAAUGUGCCUGUGUUCAUUUUGGUUCCUUCCAGAAUUUUUAAAAUCUCACAAUCUCGCCACGCCCCAUACGAAGAAAGGUUUUGUUUGAACUACGAUCGGCAAGUAACUGAAAUGAAGUUCCUAGUCUACCACAAGGAGGAAGAAAGGACUGCCUUUAGAUUAAGGGAAGCAUCAGUCAGCCUGGGAAACAUCAGUCAAAAAAGUCUCUGGAGAUGACAAUACAAUAUUCUUCGUCCUACUGAUGUCUCCGAGUGACAUCACCGAGACUGUAAGUGCCAGUUAAUGAGAAAGAGGGGCUUUCAUCUGAGACACAUGAAGCUAUUAUCUUCAGUGUGUCUCUGUACUUCUGCAGUAUAUCAAGAAAGGAGAAUUUUAACCAGAAAUUCAAAACUCUGCAACUGACAAAGCCUUGUUCUCCUGGAAAGAUUUCCUUCUGUUGUAUUGAAGAGAGAGAGGUUUGUGUCACAGAGCAGAGGGUAGGAACGAAGGAACCAAGUGACUGAGUUUCAAGAGAAUUGGCUCCAAUUAUCCAACAAUUUUAUCCUGAAAUUAUCGGCUGCCGGACUUGAAACAUGGAAGAAAAAGACAUUUUUCUAUCGCAGAUGGUUACAGUCACCUUAAUCUUCUCUUGGCAAGUAGGACACUUGCCGGUGUCCUCCUCAGCAUUUGCCGAGCGAAAACGAGCAGAGGAUUUGUGGGAAAGCUGGCCUCAAGAUACCUCAGUUCCUCUCACAGACCACCAUUCCCACAAUAUUCCAGCUCAUCCUGGCCCUUGCCUGUGGAAGUUCUAAUUUAAAAAGCGGAACUUCCCCCAUUUCUCUGAGCAGAACUGGUUUGCUACCCGUUUCUUUUUAUUCGUUGCAAUAUUUUACCUGUCCAGGGUUAAGCUCCGAAUGGGGAUUAAUUUGUGAGGAUAUCAUUAACAACGGUUGUCAUGGUGGUCUGGGCUCGUGGUGUGACCAUGACACUUCCCGUCGGCUAGUCUUCGAAGUGACUGGACCAACGUUGUAUACAGAUUUUUGGGUUCAAUUCCGACCAGGUGUUAACAAAAAGAAACUUGAAACCAGAAAUUUCUGAGGUAUUUUCUGAGCCCGUGGAAAUCCUAAUGUAUUCAGGCUUCGGGUUAAGGGUGAGGUGAACAAGUCUUGGAUUUUCUGAGUUCCUUGAAAUGUUCCCCCUCAAUGAGGUAUGUCUCCCUAAAUUCCAUUGGCAACCA